CACAGACCUACUCGGACAUACAUCAUUCAUGAGUGACAUUCAAAUUACAACCGACGCGCGACGUGUUCACGUGUAAAAUACCGAUACGAGUUAUUAAUGAAAUGGAAAAACGCACCUAAAAUUUCGUGUGUUAUCGUAAUAAAUAAUGAUAAUAUAAAAAUCCGUCUCUAUUAUAUUUAUGCCAGCCGUCCGAGAUUCGGAACCAAUAAGAAACGACCGGUUGUGUGAAACAAUGUAGGUGUGGUAUAGAGAACAUCAAAAUACGUAUCUUUAGGAAGGUAUUAUUCGAGCUAUUUCUCUGUUUCAAAAU
This is a non-coding RNA of Cinara cedri, 310 nucleotides long. Lineage: Eukaryota; Metazoa; Arthropoda; Insecta; Hemiptera; Aphididae. The record is from the annotation of a GenBank genome assembly.